UGUGGUAUAAAUAGCAGCUAACAGCAGCAACAGCCCACAUCAGUCUGCUGCUGUCUGUGUCUGCUCUGAGCUACCGGCAGCGUCAGUGCUGAUUGUAAGAGUUUACUGGAUGUAUUAGUUUGUUAGGAGACACUCGAUUUCACUCCCACAACAGACAACUUUGGAGGAAGAAGCUCAUCUGUUAGCGCUGAUGUAAAGCAGCACCUGGUCAAAGGCUAAAGACGUCCAUUCACCCACCUACAUUUGUCUCAAGAGCCAUUAAACAGGUGCCUGCGGGGAGAGAACUGCAGCAGCAAGGCAGCCAAGUGUCAGAGAGUCAGCGAGAGCGUCACCGCAACCAGGCUUAAAUGAUGAGGGAACACACCCUCAGGUGUUCCAGGUUAUACUGACAAUCCACCUGCAGGACGAACAGAAACACAGGUGAACCACACAGCAGCAGAAGAUGACUCAGCAGGGGUCACAAUAUGGAUGCUCCAAAGAAGCCUCCGCCUUCAGGGACGCCCCAUCUUUAUGUAUUCCUCAUCCAACUGUUAUUAUUUGAUAUGCAUCUCAGGGCCUUUCCAAAAUCAAAGUGUGUGAAAGAAGAUAAUAUGAUGUCUCCCCCGACUGGCUCUGUUUAUGGUUAUGAGGCAUGGUGGCAGCCCCUCAAAGGGAGCAGCUGUCCUUGUGACUGGUUUUCAUAACAGGUAGCUUUCAGCAAGGACAGAGAAAGGGGGGAGUGGUAAUAAUUACCUCUUUGAAAACACUCCCCCGAGGCUAGCCUUAUCCAAGAUUUCUCUCCUCCAUUUCACCAGUCUUUCUCAUCCACCUUCAUUCAGUUCCUCCACAUGAAAUGAAAGAUAGAAGAAAAUUGUUCAUUGACUUUGCUAAAGUAACUUUUAAAUGCUGAAAGGAGUGUAUUCAGAAGCAUCUCUAGUUGACAGGACUGAUUUUAGGGAGAUUGAAGGAUUUUCUGAGAGAUUGGCACCACUUUUUGCCACCAUCAUUUACAGAAAAUAUCCUAUUGUUUAUUAAUAACAUAUGUUCAAGGUUUCUUAAUUAGUACUCAAGGGUAAAUUUGUUGUGCAGACGAGAGAUUCAGCAUUCCAGAGUUAAAAACAACAUCGCAGCAAUACAGAUUCAAGAGACGUCAAAACAAAAUACAUUAAAACAAGUAUCAUCAUAGUAUCAAAAAUAGUAUCAGAGUACAAGAACUCCUAAGAAGGUCAUGACAAAGUGCCUCUACACACACUCAUCCACUCACUCAAAAGCUUAAAGUGCCAUGCAUGGGUAAAGUGCAUCAUCUUGUGAUAGCUUUGUUUAGUAGUGCAAUGGCUGCAGGUACAAAAGCAUUUCUGUAUCGUGUUGUUCUCCACCGACAGCCUGAGCGAAGGAGCUGGAAUUCACUAUAGAACAGAGCUCACCUUACAAUGUUUUUUUUUUUUUUUUUAAUGCAUGAAUUGUGCUAUAUGAAUAGAAUGAAAAGUUUCCUCCUCCUCCUCCUCUUCUUCUUCUACUUAUUAUUAUUACUAUCAAUAAAAGUCCAAUAAAAGAGUUUCAUCUUGGUUUUAUCAAUGUGAAAAUGGGACAGUUUUCUGAGACAAAACAAAUGCUCAUGUCCCUUUUUACACACUGCUCUCAAAAUUCUUCUCAAAGGUCAAUUUAGAGUCAAUGGCCCUGUUCACGCUUAGUUUUAAAACCUGUCUUGGGUGAUCGGGUCACGGGUAGAGCGCAGUAAAUACAAGUGUAAACGACCACCAAGACAAGUUGUGAUCUGAUCACUCAAACCACUUGCUGAGGUGGUCUGGUAUGCAUUUUACCACAUAUCUUUUGUAGUGUAAAUGCUAAUGCAUCCUGAUGCGUCCUCGACAAGGAUGUAAAAAGAAAAUACAUCAAACCAGGAUGUGGUGGUUGUUUUGGUGACAAUAGUCCUACGCCAAAUGACUUUGUCCUGCCAAUCUCAACAGUUGGAAUAGCCCGUACAUGUAUAUUAGUUCUUGAAACAUUUGUGUUUUCUUAGCUAGUCCGUGCAAAACAAAUUUGGUGCUUGUCUGGAUACAGACUGACAUAAUAACUAUGCGCGUGGCCCUUUGACCUUCUAGCGGAAGUGACAUAAGCAGUAACAGAAUCUGAGCAGAAGUGGUCAGCUGUGUUCAGAUCACUGAAAUGCAUUUUAAAACCAAGUAAACAGCCUCUAUGACUGUCCCAAGAUACCUGUAGCUUUCUACACAGUCUGGUCUUUGAUUGAUGGUAGUCUCAUAGAUUGAAGUAUGAGUUCUGAAAUCUAUGAUCAUAUCCUUUGUCUUGGAUACGUUUAGCUCCAAGAAAGAUUUGUCACACCAGGUGAUAAACUCAUCAAUGACUGAGCCUUGGCUGGACUCCUUGUUGUGUAGCAGACUCACAAUGACUGAAUCAUCUAAAAACUUCAAUAUGAUCCUGUUCUUAUGCUUACUUUGGCGCAUGUUUGUGUACAGAAUAUAAAGUAAAAGUGAGAGAACACAUCCCUGGGGUGAGCCAGUAGAUGACCAUAAUGAAUCUGAUAAAAUGCGGAGUUGGAUAGUAUUAAAGGCUGUAGAAAAAUCAAUAAAUAGCAAUCUAGCAUGGGUUUUAUUCCCCUCUAGGUGUUUAAACAAAAGGUUAAGUAAGGUCAUUAUAGCAUCCUCAACUCCUCUGUGUGCCCUAUAGGCAAAUUGCAUAGGGUCGAGUGCAUGCCUGGUUUCCCUUGUAAACUCUGUCUUCACACACACAAGAGAAGUGUGGGCAACCAGCCUGAAAUCAUUAAAAGCUUUGGGGCUGCUGCCUGUAGGAAGAGGGGUGAUCAGAUCCUGCUUCCACAGGUUAGGUAUACGUUGUAGGUUCAGAGACAAAUUGAAAAUAUCAUAAAAGAUAGAUCUUAAUUGCCUUGCACAUGACUUCAGUAACUUUCCACUGAUAUACUCAUGGCAGGACAACGCCUCUUGAUUAUCUUUAGAGAAUGGAAGGACUUUUCAACUUCUCUUUGCUCCAGGACAAAGUACUGAUUGUCUUUGAGUUUACAUCUAAGUCCCUCAACUUCAUCUCUAAAGUCAAACUGAUCAAAUCUCUGAUAGAAGUUAUUAAGAACAUUGGCAGAUUCACUAUCUGACCUGAAGCCAUCCAUACAGUAGUUAUGUUGGUUCUGUUCUUGCUUUGCUGUAUGCCUGUGAUUGUUUUCAUGCCAGACCAAGCUAAGACAAGGUUCCUCUCAGCCCCUCCUCCUUGACUGAAGGACAGGUUCUUCUUCUGUGGACUGUAGACUAGACCUAAUUGCCUUAGACAUCCACUGUUAUUGGAGUAAACCUUAAUCUUUUUAGUAGGAAUAAUCAUAUUCUCACAAAAGGUAACAUAAGAACAGAUUACAUCAGUGAGUUCAUCAAUGUCCUUGCAAGAGUCUUUGAACAUCUCUCAGUCAAUGCAGUCAAAGCAGCCUUGAAGACAAGCAGUGGAUUCCUCAGACCAGAUUUUAACAUCUUUGGUCUGGAUUUUUUCAGUUUUAUAUGUAGAGAGAAGGAGCAUGUAGUUGUGGUCAGCAGAACCUAAGGGAGGCAGGGGGAUUGAUUUAUAUGCUCCCUUAACGGUACCAUAACAGAGAUGUUAUUCUGCCUGGUUGGACACGUUACAUAUUGGUAAAAGUUUGUCUAAGACUUUUUUAGGGACAUAUGAUUAAAAUCUCCAAGUUUGAGGUUCAGUGCUUUGGGUGAAAUGGACUGUAGUUUUUGCACUACAUUAAAUAUAGUGCUUGUGGCAGUGGCAGGAUUUGCCUUUGGAUGAAUAUACACAGAUGAAUAUUUGUGGGAAUUCACAUGGUAAAUAGAAUGGACGGAGCGACACUGAUAGAAGUUUAACAUCAGGCGAGCAGAGUCUUUCUCUGACAGUCGCAGAGCCACAAUAGCACUUAUUGACAUAGAGGCACAAGCUCCCUCCAUUAGAUUUUCCUGUCACCUCUGCUUGACGAUCCAGGCAAAAUGGAGUACCUAAUCCGUCUAUAGACAGGUCGCUAUCUGAGUCCUGCUCAGUGAGCCAAGAAUCCGUGAAUAGCAUGAUGCAGCUGUCUCUGUAGUCUUUGUAGUAGAUUUCCUUGUAGCUCAUCAAGUUUAUUCCACAAGGACUGGACGUUUCCUGUAACCAGGAGGGCAGGGGAAUACUGCGAUUACCCACCUGUGACAGGAUGCUCCAGUCCAAUAAAUCACGGUGUCAGAGAGGCUGGAAGGAAGUGCAGCGUAUACAGAAGUGUUUUCCCUCAGUGCAGGAAAACUAGUAGACCUGAUUGCCUUCAUCCAUCAGAACAGAACUGUGCAGCAAUGAACGGGGAGAGGAAAGCCCAGAAGAUUUCAUCUUUCUGUCUCCGUACAUUAGAAAGUGAUGUAAAGUGAUGAGAAAGUAAAUAUUUAUAAGAUUGGUAUUGAUAUUGGUAAAUCUCAGGAAUAUCGUGUGGUUGCUUGUUGGUGUUUGUGUAUUUUCCCUGUGUGGCUUCUGAUAUUCUGAAUACAAUGAUAUAUGAGGUCCGUCCAAGUGUUCAAAUAUUUUGUCACCAUGGACAAAAUGUAAUAACUGUGAAUAAAUAUGUGAAUGCUCGAUAUGGAGUUUUGGAAAAGCCACUUUCAGAUGGUUCUUACACUAAACACCAAAAAAAUUAUAAAUUUGUGAUGUUCAGCUACUCCAGGGCUUAAUGUAUAAUGCAGUAAGUGCUAUUUUUUGUCUGUUUUCUUUAGAAAGUCUGGUCAAGAGAUCAAGAGAUUUUAUUGUCAUUUGCGCAAGUACAGAACAGUAAAGGUACAUUGGAAUUAUUCUCUAACUCACUGGUCCCCAGUAUAGCCCCCAAUAAAUGCACUAUUUCCACCUGUUUGAGCAACAUUCACUAAAAACCAGAGAUGCACCGAUCCACUUUUUUCAGUUUUGAUCCAAUUCUGAUACCUGAAUUUGGAUAUCUGCCAAACCAAUACUAGAGCUCUUUUUUCUUGACUAUUAUUAUUAAUAUUGUAAUCAUUAUUAUUGUUAUUGUUGUUGUUAUGUGUAAGGCUACAUGCGGCUGUAAUAAACCACACAGCACUUCUUAUUAAAAGAGGUAAAAAUAUACAAAAAUGUAUUAAAUUUUAAUGUAUUCCAAAGCAAAAUUUGACAUGGUGUGUAGUGUGACUUUAAAGAAAAAUCCAUUAGUUUCUACUGGGGAGUUGUGCUGACCCAAAACAGCAUGCAGACAGAUUCUGAGGUUAAAAACAAAUUAAUUUAUUAUAAGCUAAAACACAAGUUAAGAACAGAUUGAAAACACAGGUUAAAAGUCCAAGUCUCUCAGAAGAAAUAAAACAUCACUAAAGGAAAUAAAAUGUCUCAGUGUUAAGAGUCCAUCUUAGAGCAGUCCUGUUUUAGCUUUGUCUGCAGCAUGCGGGUGGUCUCACCAGACUUAUCUGUCUCAGUCUCCUACUGCAUCAAGAGUUCAUAUGAUGUAAGGUGGAAGAAUCCAGCUAUAUAAACUAAAAGGGACGAGCCAAAAUAAUAGCACAGAUUCACCCCUCCGCUUUCCAACAAAGUGUGUCCCUCUUUCCUCCAGCGGCCUGCAGGCACAGCAUGCUGAGCUCCGUCUCCUUCCUUCUGUUGGCUGUUUGCCUUGCUUUUAUACUCUCCUUUUCCGCAACCAGGCCAUAGGCUGGCAUCUUCCCUUUGUUCUUAGGUUGCGUUCAUUGCAGUCUCUUCUACACUGGUCCGUCACUGCAUCCAUGAGCUCUGCUUCUCUGUCGGCCGGUCAAAACAUUAGACUAUGGAAUCUGGAUUGGAAUGUGGAUCAGUAAUGUCAGUCCAAUAUCCGAUGAGUGAAU
RNA transcript from Thunnus maccoyii (southern bluefin tuna), 5810 nucleotides. It is a transcript of the gene named tetraspanin-18-like, with no coding region annotated. The transcript is spliced from 4 exons. The record is from RefSeq and is a predicted model, not a curated record. NCBI's taxonomy places the organism in Eukaryota, Metazoa, Chordata, Actinopteri, Scombriformes, Scombridae.